GGCUGGGGCUCAGUGGUAGAGCACUUGCCUAGCAUAUGUGAGGCACUGAGUUCGAUUCUCAGCACCACUUA
Molecule: transfer RNA, 71 nt
Filed under: Marmota monax (woodchuck)
Lineage: Eukaryota; Metazoa; Chordata; Mammalia; Rodentia; Sciuridae
Description: tRNA.Ala
Source: RNAcentral